CUGGCUCAGAUUGAACGCUGGCGGCAUGCCUAACACAUG
This 39-nucleotide ribosomal RNA is filed under the name Dyella marensis. RNAcentral's name for it is "16S rRNA. Bacterial SSU". Lineage: Bacteria; Pseudomonadati; Pseudomonadota; Gammaproteobacteria; Lysobacterales; Rhodanobacteraceae. The record is from RNAcentral.